ACAGAACAAGUGUCUUGGUUCACAGCAAAGAGGACAAAGAAAACAGCAAGUUUUAGGGGGUUGAAUCCUGGAUUCCCCUGGCAAACACCAUUCUACUUUCCGUCUCUAUGAAUUUGACUACUCGAAGUACCUCAUGUGAAAUGUUGGUGCCAAAUGAACUUUUCUGGUUCUUCUGAAUAUGCCACUGUUGCUGGAGAAAUGUCACUGCUAGAGAACAGAAGACUAUUAUUCCAAAGGGUAUUUGAGACUGACUGAAUCAGGUCUGGAACAUUAUUGAAAUGAGGAUGAAGAGAUCCUCCUAGCUUGGCGGAAUACUCUGCUCUGAUGGAAGUACCAUCCUGGUCCAAACAUGAAAGAAUUCCCAACAUCAAGAUUGAUUGAAACAUAUUCAAUGGGUGGUGACCAGAUGGAUAUAAACGGGCUGUGGAAAAAGAGAAUGCAUGGCCAAAAAUGGUGGUGCUCUCUGUCCAAAAACUGAGGCCCUAUGACCAUGAAUGAAGCCAGAGGGCAGGUAGGAAUAGAUCAUUUGCUCCAGAAGAAGCUGGUUGCCAUGUCUUGAGGACAGUAAACCCUCUGGGGAGGUUCCUGUGGUAAGGAACAAGGGCUCCUGGCAAUAGCCUCUGAGUGAGCCACCUUGAAAAUGGAUUGUCCAGCCCCAGUCAAGCUUUCAGAUGACUGUAGCUCCUGCCAAUGUCUUCACCACAACCUCAUGAGAUCCCAAGCUACAACCACUCAGAACUUCAUCUUUUGGGAAGCACCAGGGAGAGCUGCCUGUGCCUGGCAGAAGCUGCCCAUGCCCCACUGAUACCCCACAGUACUUCCUGUUCUGCUUAGUACUCCUGCUUCUUUCUACAAACAACUGUGAUUCUCUACCUGGGAGCUUCCUCUGGCCACAGGAGCCUGCUCACCUGAUUGGGACACCCUAGCAGUACUGGCUCAUAGAUGGAAGGGACUUGCCUUGUCGCUGAUGAGACUUUCGACUUGGACUUUUGAGUCAAUGCUGGAAUGAGUUAAGACUUUGGGGAACUGUUGGAAGGGUGUGAUUGUGUUUUGAAUUGUGAGGACAUGAGAUUUUGAAGAGGCUAAUGGCAGCGUCCCCACCUAAAUCUCUUCUUGAAUUGUAGUUCCCAUAAUCCCCACGUGUCGUGGGGUGGAGCCGGUGGAGAUAAUUGAAUCAUGGGAACACUUUCCCCCAUGCUGUUAUUGUGAUUGUGAAUUCUCACGAGAUCUGAUGGUUGUAUAAACGCCUUCCCUCUUCGCUGGGCACUCAUUUUUCUCCUUCCUGCCACCAUGUGAAGAAGGAUAUGCUUGCUUCUUGUGCCAUGAUUGUAAGUUUCCUGAGGCCUCCCCAGCCAUGCUGAACUGUGAGUCAAUUGAACCUCUUUCCUUUAUAAAUUACCUAGUCUUGGAUAUGUUUUUAUUAGCAGUGUGAGACAGGACUAAUACACAAAGGAUUUGAAAUCACAAAGGAGCUGUUUUCUGCUCCACCAUGGAAGUCUCACAUGCAUCACAUCUAUUCAUAUCCAUUUGCCACAACUAGACAAAAAGUCCUUUUUAAAAUCUGCCUAGAGAUCAGGAAGUAUUAUCUCUGGAUGCCUAGGCAGGAGAGGUGAAUCAGAUAUUGGUGGGCACUAGUGUGUUCUAUGAUACAUAGCUUAAUAAAAAUAAGUUUCAGAUAAAUCUAAAUAUACAUUAGAAUACUGUAACCACAGUAGAAAAAAAUAUUGGCUCCUUUUUGUGAUAAACUAAUGAUGGUAAAUGCACCCUAUUUAAGCAAGAAAAGAAACUGAUCUGCCAUAAAGAAAACAAUGACAUAUUUAACUACAAAAUAUGUUACAAAAUAUUAAUAUCCCUAAUGGACAAAUGAGUUCCAAUAAAUGGAUAACAAAAAACCAAUAAGUCUGUAGAAAAAUGGAGAAAAUAUAUUUGCAGAAUAUUUAUACAGGUGGUAAUGAAAUUGACAAUGAUGUUUAUCAUCAGCAGUAAACAGUAAAAAGUUUCACCCACCAGGACUAUAGAAAUUUUUCAAAUGGAUAAUUUUCAGAAUCAGCAAAGUUAUAGAAAAGUAGGUACCAGUUGCACAUACCAUUGGAGGAAAUGUAAAAUAUAGUUACCUUGUGGAAAGUAAUCUGAUGUAAUAUAUUAAAAUUUUAUCCAUGUAUGUCCUAUAAUUCAGCAAUUCCAUGUUGGGGAAUCCAUACAAAGAAAUACUUAUACACAUGCAGAAGGAGCUAAGUUUAAGAAAGCACACAUUUCAGCGGGUUGUGGUGUCUCACCCCUGUAAUCCCAGCACAUUGGGAGGCCGAGGUUGGUGGAUCACCUGAGGUCAGGAGUUUGAGACCAGCCUGGCCAACAUGGUGAAACCCUGUCUCUACUAAAAAUACAAAAAAUUAGCUGGUGUGGCAGUGGGUGCCUGCAGCUACUCAGGAGGCUGAGGCAGGAGAAUCGCUUGAACCUGGGAGGUGGAGGUUGCAGUGAGCUGAGAUCACACCACUG
RNAcentral lists this long non-coding RNA (2496 nucleotides) under Homo sapiens (human). RNAcentral's name for it is "STXBP5 antisense RNA 1". The record is from RNAcentral. Lineage: Eukaryota; Metazoa; Chordata; Mammalia; Primates; Hominidae.